AUAUAAGUAGUGGCUAUGAUUGCUGUGGUUCUAUUGACAGGCAUUUGAGAAGAGUAUUUGUGUGAAGAAAAUAAUGAAUUUCAGCUUGGAACAUGUGGAACAAGCACUUAGAGUUUGCAUCCAACUGGAUGUAAAACCAUUUAAUGUCCAUAUUGUCCACUUGACAUUAUGCGCCAUGGGGUCAGAGACUGCCUGGGUCACCCUUGUACCUACAGCACAAGAAAAGUGCCUGACUCACAAAGAUUCCAUUCACUGAAGAAAAAAUAAACCUCCUUCGGAGGCUAAAGAAGCUGAGUCUUAGAUAAGUCCAUUGGCCAGAACCACCAGGAGGCUCCACCCACAUCAAGGCAGUGAAGGAG
This is a long non-coding RNA of Bos taurus (domestic cattle), 359 nucleotides long. The record is from Ensembl. Lineage: Eukaryota; Metazoa; Chordata; Mammalia; Artiodactyla; Bovidae.